GCCCGCCGGUCGCAGAGCUGUCAGCAAGCUCCAAACCGCGGCUGCCGCCCGGAGGGAAGCAGACGGGGAGUCGGUGGCGGCCGCCGAGUCCGCAUGCGCAGGCUGCAAAGGCCCUUUUGGGCCGGUCCCGCCGCGCUAGGUUGGCGAGUGGGACUAUUUGAUCCUUUCCAGGUUCGCCAGCGUGGUGUUACGAGAGGAAAGCGCAGCCGCAGCGUACGAAUGGGAAGGCCAAACACGGUCCCGGGGAGUCUGAGGGAAGCUGCAGGGCGCCUGGAAUUGGGGUCUCGAGUGAGCCGGUAAAAACCGCCUCCCGCUGAGCGUCCCGGAACAAAUACUGUCUGAACUGAGCCGUAAGCAAGAAACGGUCAGGAGAAGCUGGGGCGAUCUGAUGAUUAGAACAUUUCAGGGACUACCAGAGAGAAGUGCGUAAUUGCUCUAAGGCAGGUAGGUAAUUGGCCUGGAAACUUGGGAACGCCCCGCCCCCCACCCCGACUUUCAGCAAACCACCGUGCCCAGGAAAAAGAGCGAUUGUGGAAGACCCUGUGAAGAAGAGACCAGGAAGGCACUGUGGCUUAAGAGAGCAAGGCGUUCCUGAAUGCAGCCAACAUCAACUGGUAAACAAAAAACUGUGAGAACGGAUCCUGAAUCUUGCGCUUACCAGGGGAAAUUCAGGAGAGAUAUGAACCUGAGCAAGAUGAGGUUGAAGUUACUCAAUGCGGCAUUAAGCCUGUUCACGGCCACUUCCUCCGGCGUCACCAACACACACACUGUACACCAGCAGUAUUUUUACACGGGGUAUGUGUGUUAAGUACUAUCAGGUGGAUAAUUAUUACUUCACCUGUAUUUGCUGCCUUGAUACCAUUAGAGAAACUCAUGAAUUAUAAAUAGCAUAGUGAAUUUGUGAUUCCCUGAAGAUAUACUAAGGUGGACUUUUAAAAAGGCUUCUAUUCCAAAGGGAACUAAUAUGGAGGAAAUGGUUUCGAGAAAGAAAAAAGAAAAAACGGAGUCCUUGAUUAGUUGUGGGGAAGGCAACAUAAUGUAAUGUGAAGAAUAAAGGAGUCAGAUCCAGGAAACCCCAUAACUAUUAUGAAACAUUUCUAGGCUGGGCGCAGUGGCUCACACCUGUAAUGCUAGCGCUUUGGGAAGCCAAGAUGGGAGGAUUAUUUGAGGCCGGGAGUUUGCGACCAGCCUGAGCAACAUAGCAGGAUCCUGUCUCUGCAAAAAAAUUUAAAACUAGCCAGGUGCGGUGGCUCGUGCCUGUUGCCCUAGCUACUCAGGGAGACUGAGGCAGAGGAUUGCUUCAACCCAGGAGUUUGAGGUUGCAGUGAGCUAAGAUCAUGUCACUGCACUCCAGACUGAGCAACAGAGUGACACUUUAUAAAAAAAAAAAAAAAAAAAACUAGGUUUUUGAACUUGCUUAAUCAAAGAAUUUGUUUAAACUUUUAAGAUGCGUUGUCAGAUUAUCUUUCCCUAAAGGAAUAAUUUCUAUUCCUAUCAGCUGUUUAUAUUCCUGCCUAGUCACCAUCACUAGAUAUAAUUGAUUUUCAGUUUUUGCCAAUCUGAGGAACAAAAAAUGACCCUUAUAUGUCAAAUUUACAGUUUAUUUUCAAGGAUUUUGGGAUUCUGAUCAAAUUUUGGUACCUUCAUAUAAAAUUUGGCUUUUAUAUCACAUCUUGUCUUCUCUGCUUUCCACCCUCUUUUAUGUUGUUUUUUGGCUUCUGGCCGCAUGACUAUAAUCUCCGCUUUUGUAUUCACAUCACCUUCUGUCAUUUUUGACCUUGCCUCCGUCUUACAAGGAUCCUUGUAAUUAAUUAUAUUGGGCCUGCUGAGAUAAUCCAGGAUAUUCUUCCUACUCAAGUUCCUCAAUUUAAUCACAUCUGCAAAAACUGCCUUUUGCUAUAGAACAAUGACAGGAGAUUAGAAUGUAAACAUAUUUGGGGGACCGUUAUUCAGCUUAACACAAUACGUCCCCCUUCAUCAGGUGGAGCUUAUUUUCCCUCCUUCCUUGAGUGUGGGCUGGACUUAGUGACUAACUUCCAAAGAACAGAGUAUGGAAAGGGAGGAGGAGAGUAACUUCAUAGUACAGAAACCUGGAAACACUGUCUUGGCCAGGUGGUCAAAGUUAAUAUCAUCAAGUCAUGUUGAUAGCAUAUACUCCCAAUAUACUGUGAUGAGAAGGGCAAUUCACCUCUGUGGUAUUCUCAAAACCUAUAACCCAAUCUAGUCUAAACAUGAAAAAAAAAAAAUCAAACUAAAAUUGAAGGACAUUCUAUAAAACACCUGAUCAGUAUUCCUCAAAACUAUCAACGUCGUGGGGAACAAGGAAAGAUUGAAAUACUGUAACAGACCAGAGGAAACUAAGGAAACUUAAUUGAUGACUGAAUGCAGUGUGCUGUGUUGAACUGGAUCCUAGAGAAAAUAGACAUUAGUGGAAAAACUACUGAAAUAUGAAUAGUCUCAAGUUUAAUAGUAGUGUACCAUUAUUACUUUCUUAGUUUUGACAAAUGUACCAUGGUUAUGCAAGAUGCUAACAAUACAGAAAAAUAAGGGGUAUUUGGGACCUCCCUGUAUUAUCCUUAUGCCCUUACUUGAAAGUUGUUUCAGCAAUAGAAGUUUAUUUAAAAUAUUGUGAAGGGCCUGAGUAUUUUUAAAUCAACUGCAGUGACUCUCUUUUGUGUAUUUGUGUACAGAUGAGUUUUUCUGCAUCGAAUUUUAUCUCCUUUCCUUGCAGAAGAAAGAGAAUUAGCCCUUUACAGAGAUAACAGUUGCCUAAGCCAGCUCUUUUCUCCUCUUUUUGAUGUUCUUCUUUUUCUCUCAGUUUGAAAAUUGUAGGUUAUUUGAGUUUUUAAAAUGUCUAUUGCUACAUACACAUUCUAGUUAUAUUCUAGUCCAAACAAUCUAGUAAAAUAUCUAAAAGAAAAAUGCUGUUCACUGUAUUUUUUAUUUUUAAAAUGUGAGUGAGUGCAUUUAAAUAAUAGGUUGUGUUAUUAUAAUUAUGAGCUAAAAGUUUUGAAGUGUGAUUUAAAGAGUCUUUAACAUUACAAUUCUGGACUACAAAGUGUAAAAAUUGUAUUUUAAAAGAUUCAUGUACUGUUUCCGAUAAAUAGAUGAAUCUUUGAUCACUG
Homo sapiens (human) is the source of this 3125-nucleotide long non-coding RNA. Ensembl annotates it as DNAJC3 divergent transcript. Its record names the gene DNAJC3-DT. NCBI's taxonomy places the organism in Eukaryota, Metazoa, Chordata, Mammalia, Primates, Hominidae. The record is from Ensembl.